AACGAACGCUGGCGGCGUGGCUAAAGGCAUGCAAGUCGAACGGAUCUAUCCAACGGGUAAACUGAAGGGUAGAUUAGUGGCGAACGGGUGAGGAAUACAUGGACAACGUACCCUGGACACGGGGAUAGCGGCGGGCCGCAAGGCUCUUUAGCGAAAAGUGCCGGUAAUACCCGAUGAUCCCGCAUGGUCGCAUGAUCGUGUGGGCAAAGCUCCGACGGUCUGGGAUCGGUUCAUGCCCUAUCAGCUAGUUGGUGAGGUAACGGCUCACCAAGGCGGCGACGGGUACCGGGCGUGAGAGCGUGA
Molecule: ribosomal RNA, 303 nt
Filed under: uncultured bacterium
Lineage: Bacteria
Description: partial 16S ribosomal RNA
Rfam family: Bacterial small subunit ribosomal RNA
Source: RNAcentral